AAACGUUUGACACCAGUCAUGUGGGUGGAAAAUCAGUCUUUUGCAUUGGGGAGUUGUAAGGGUUCGGACCGCAAGGCCGGCUUUUGCUUCAUCUUUGGUGUAAGUGAUGCACUUUUUCAUUUACAGGUCAACAUCAGUUUCUUUUGCUGGACAAAACUCCGAGAGAAGGUAGCAGCUUAGGCUGUGUUAUAGCUCUGGAGCGAUACAGUGAAGGGGACUGAGGUUUUCGCAGCGUGUGCUCUCGGGCAAGGCUGGAUGGGUGCUAUGGGAUCGUUCGGGGUACAAUGCCUGGCAUUUUGCUUCGUGUCUUUUCUAUACUCGCUCAACUCAGCUCUUCCACGCUUAGGAUGUUGACUUAAUGGCUUUAAACGA
Molecule: ribosomal RNA, 372 nt
Filed under: Podila minutissima
Lineage: Eukaryota; Fungi; Mortierellomycota; Mortierellomycetes; Mortierellales; Mortierellaceae
Description: LSU rRNA
Source: RNAcentral